CGAAAGCCUGACGGAGCAAGACCGCGUGAGGGAGGAAGGCUCUUGGGUUGUAAACCACUUUUCUCAGGGAAGAAGGACUGACGGUACCUGAGGAAUAAGCCUCGGCUAACUCCGUGCCAGCAGCCGCGGUAAGACGGAGGAUGCAAGCGUUAUCCGGAAUUAUUGGGCGUAAAGCGUCCGCAGGUGGUGAGUCAAGUCUGCUGUCAAAGCCAGGAGCUCAACUCCUGUCCGGCAGUGGAAACUGACCCACUCGAGGGUGGUAGGGGUAGAGGGAAUUCCCAGUGUAGCGGUGAAAUGCGUAGAGAUCGGGAAGAACAUCGGUGGCGAAAGCGCUCUACUGGACGGCAACUGACACUCAGGGACGAAAGCUAGGGGAGCG
RNAcentral lists this ribosomal RNA (379 nucleotides) under uncultured cyanobacterium. Its description in RNAcentral is "bacterial SSU rRNA". It matches the Rfam family "Bacterial small subunit ribosomal RNA", at positions 376 to 770 of the family's 1533-position model. Lineage: Bacteria; Bacillati; Cyanobacteriota. The record is from RNAcentral.